GAAUAUGAGACCUGCACCUUCCUUUCCCAUUGUGGGUGUGCUACAAUUUGAAGGAAGACAAUCACUUAUCCAUCUAAUUUAUGGAAGAUCUUGAUUGUGAAGGGCUCUUUGUAGAUCCCAUCAGAGCUACCCAGAAGAUCCUGAGCAUAAGCCCCUGCCUGCUUUCAACAACUUGGGAAAGGAGCCCUCAGUACUUUCUCCAACUCAGGCUUUUGUUUCUCUACACCCAGCAUUGUCCACCGUUUCUCAGCUGCCAUCUAUUUAUUGAGGAUCAUUGUCAAUGCACCUCUGAAUGCCAUGCCUACAUCUCUGGGUAAUGUUCCUCCAAACUUGGCAGCUGUCCACUCUUUUUCAGCAUGUACUGUCUUAGCAAUGCUGUUCUUGCUGUAAGAAAGCGUUCCCAUGUUGAUUUUCUAGCAGGGUUCUGAAUUCCUUCCAGCUCCUCUGGUUUUCUAAGGUGCAAUCCAUUCUAUUGUUUUCAGUUGAGGAGUUCCCUCUAGCCAAGAAUUACUUUUUGUUAAAUCAUCCUUUCCAAAUGUUUUCUCUACAAUCUCUGUAAUGAACUGACAGAUGGGUGUCUGAUCUUCAGGAGAUAUAAUGAAGAUUUAUUUUCUAAACUGUCAGGACAAGCCAAGGUUAUCAUACAAGAAAACUAACACACUGCAAAUUGCACUCAAUUCAACCAAAAAUGUCAAUUUCAUUGGCUGUGACUUUUUCCUCUGUAUCCCGUUGAUAAUAUAGAUAUACUUAUAUAUUCAGAGCUUGUAUCAUCGCAUUGAUUACCUUGCUGAUAAACACUAAUUUUUGAGAAGACCAGAGCUUUCAUGAGUUCCAUAAAUCUUAUCACAUUCAGGAUAAUACUUUUAAAAUUUUAACUAAGAAUGGAUAAUGGUUCUGGUCAUUUGGUUAUUCUGUGUCCUUCAGAGAAAUGAUCUGAAUAUCCCACUUGGGCAACUUGAAGAAAAAUGCCCACAUCUAUAGAUCAUCAAUGAACACUGAAUAAGCUUAGGUCCAGUUUAUGCCUGCCCAUAGACAGUGAACUCUGGAGGAUAGAAAUAUUACUAGGUGACAUCAUGGUAGAAGGAAUAGAUCUGCCACAAAGAAUUUCCAAUUUUCUAAAACCAACACAAACUUCUACCCUUGCUAAUAAAUAACAUCUGAGCCACUUGACUUUCUAAAGG
RNAcentral lists this long non-coding RNA (1181 nucleotides) under Sus scrofa (pig). Its description in RNAcentral is "lncRNA (ENSSSCG00060057240.1)". Lineage: Eukaryota; Metazoa; Chordata; Mammalia; Artiodactyla; Suidae. The record is from RNAcentral.